UACGAAGGGGGCUAGCGUUGUUCGGAUUUACUGGGCGUAAAGCGCACGUAGGCGGUUUGUUAAGUCAGGUGUGAAAUCCCAGAGCUCAACUCUGGAACUGCCUUUGAUACUGGCAAGCUCGAGUCCGGAAGAGGUAAGUGGAACUCCUAGUGUAGAGGUGGAAUUCGUAGAUAUUAGGAAGAACACCAGUGGCGAAGGCGGCUUACUGGUCCGGAACUGACGCUGAGGUGCGAAAGCGUGGGGAGCAAACAGG
This 253-nucleotide ribosomal RNA is filed under the name uncultured bacterium. RNAcentral's name for it is "partial 16S ribosomal RNA". It matches the Rfam family "Bacterial small subunit ribosomal RNA", at positions 524 to 776 of the family's 1533-position model. The record is from RNAcentral.